This 425-nucleotide ribosomal RNA is filed under the name uncultured bacterium. RNAcentral's name for it is "bacterial SSU rRNA". It matches the Rfam family "Bacterial small subunit ribosomal RNA", at positions 355 to 796 of the family's 1533-position model. The record is from RNAcentral.
UAGGGAAUUUUCCGCAAUGGGCGAAAGCCUGACGGAGCAACGCCGCGUGCAGGAGGAAGGCCUUCGGGUCGUAAACUGCUUUUAACGGGGACGAUUUUGACGGUACCCGUAGAAUAAGGAUUGGCUAAUUCCGUGCCAGCAGCCGCGGUCAUACGGAAGAUCCGAGCGUUAUCCGGAAUUACUGGGCGUAAAGAGUUGCGUAGGUGGCAUGUAAAGCGAACAGUGAAAUAUCACGGCUCAACCGUGGGUACAUUGUUCGAACUCACAAGCUAGAGCAUGAGAGAGGUAGAUGGAAUUCCCAGUGUAGGAGUGAAAUCCGUAGAUAUUGGGAGGAACACCGAUGGCGUAGGCAGUCUACUGGCUCAUUGCUGACACUAAGGCACGAAAGCGUGGGGAGCGAACGGGAUUAGAUACCCCGGUAGUCC